AAAGAAAGUAAGCAAGGGCGCAUGGCGGAUGCCUUGGCUCUCGGAGGCGAUGAAGGACGUGAUAAGCUGCGAUAAGCUUCGGGCAGGUGCAAAUAACCUUUGAUCCGAAGAUUUCCGAAUGGGACAACCCGUCAUUCUGAAGGAAUGACAUCUUGCAUAGCAAGAGGCUAACGCAGGGAACUGAAACAUCUUAGUACCUGUAGGAAAAGAAAAUAAUAAUGAUUCCCCUAGUAGUGGCGAGCGAACGGGGAUUAGCCCAAACCAAUGUUGUUACGGCAAUAUUGGGGUUGUAGGACCACGAUGUCGCAAGAAGUUUAGUGAGAAGAACCCUUUGGAAAAUGGGACCAUAGACGGUGAUAGUCCGGUAUUCGAAGCUAAAUGAAGCGUAGUGGUAUCCUGAGUAGCGCGGGACACGAGGAAUCUUGCGUGAAUCUGCCGGGACCAUCCGGUAAGGCUAAAUACUCCCGAGAGACCGAUAGCGAACCAGUACUGUGAAGGAAAGGUGAAAAGCACUUCGAAUAGAAGAGUGAAAUAGUCCCUGAAACCGUGCGCCUACAAGCGGUCGGAGCUGCUUCAGCAGUGACGGCGUGCCUUUUGCAUAAUGAACCUACGAGUUACUUUUUCCGGCAAGGUUAAGGAUCUUGAGAUCCGCAGCCGAAGCGAAAGCGAGUCUUAAUAGGGCGAUUAGUCGGAAGGAGUAGACGCGAAACCAAGUGAUCUACCCUUGGUCAGGUUGAAGGUUAGGUAACACUAACUGGAGGACCGAACCGAUAAGCGUUGAAAAGCUUCCGGAUGAACUGAGGGUGGGGGUGAAAGGCUAAUCAAACUUGGAGAUAGCUCGUACUCCCCGAAAUGCAUUUAGGUGCAGCCUUGGGAAUUACUACUGUGAGGUAGAGCGACUGAUAAGAUGCGAGGGCUUCACCGCCUAUCAAGUCUUGAUAAACUCCGAAUGCGCAGUAGUUCGAUCCCAGGAGUGAGGGCAUGGGUGCUAAGGUCCAUGUCCUAAAGGAGAAGAAUCCAGACCAUCAGCUAAGGUCCCGAAAUAAUUGCUAAGUUGAACUAACGAAGUCAGAUUGCUAAGACAGCUAGGAUGUUGGCUUGGAAGCAGCCAUUCAUUUAAAGAGUGCGUAACAGCUCACUAGUCGAGGAGUUUGGCGUGGAUAAUAAUCGGGCAUUAAGCAAUUUACCGAAGCUAUGGGAUGUUAACUAAACACUAACAUCGGUAGGGGAGCAUUCCACUCUGCGUCGAAGGUGAAGCGUGAGCUUUGCUGGAGCGUGUGGAAAAGCAAAUGUAGGUAUAAGUAACGAUAAAGGGGGUGAGAAACCCCCUCGCCGAAAGACUAAGGUUUCCUGAUCAACGCUAAUCGGAUCAGGGUUAGUCGGGUCCUAAGGCUCAGCCGAACGGUGAGGCCGAUGGCAGAACAGGUUAAUAUUCCUGUACUACCUUAAGGAGUGACGUGGAGACGGAGGAGUGACAACGCCGCGGACUGACGGAAUAGUCCGUUGAAGGGUGUAGAUGUUGAUUAUCCCAGGCAAAUCCGGGAUAAGAGUCGAACCUGAUAGUAUACCAAAUUCUUCGGAAUAAGGUAAUAGUGCGUGUAAGCAUACUCCCAAGAAAAUCCGCUAAACUUAAUCUUUAAGGUACCCGUACCGCAAACGGACACACGUAGUCGGGUUGAAUAUACUAAGGCGCUUGAGUNUUGCUAAGUUGAACUAACGAAGUCAGAUUGCUAAGACAGCUAGGAUGUUGGCUUGGAAGCAGCCAUUCAUUUAAAGAGUGCGUAACAGCUCACUAGUCGAGGAGUUUGGCGUGGAUAAUAAUCGGGCAUUAAGCAAUUUACCGAAGCUAUGGGAUGUUAACUAAACACUAACAUCGGUAGGGGAGCAUUCCACUCUGCGUCGAAGGUGAAGCGUGAGCUUUGCUGGAGCGUGUGGAAAAGCAAAUGUAG
This 1949-nucleotide ribosomal RNA is filed under the name Bacteroides ovatus. Its description in RNAcentral is "partial 23S ribosomal RNA". It matches the Rfam family "Bacterial large subunit ribosomal RNA". Lineage: Bacteria; Pseudomonadati; Bacteroidota; Bacteroidia; Bacteroidales; Bacteroidaceae. The record is from RNAcentral.